GAAAGCAAGACAGAAUAGGCUCUUACUGCUCUAGAAAGAACUUCCCUUGAAUCAACUGCUAUUGAAGACGGUGCUAUUGAUAUUAGCUGUGGGACUUCGGUGCCUUAAGCGGAAGAGGGGAUUUCUUUCUGGCUGCUACGCUCCUUUCUUAUUCUUUUUUUCUGUCUCUGAAGGUGGAUAAUGGAACUACUGGUCUGCUGCUUUGACUUUUUCUUUUUCAGAGGUCAGCUAGGAAAGGGGGUGGCCACUAUUCUUAGUAGAAGAUGCCAGUUUAGAGGAUCCAGAGAGCUAAGAUUCGAUAACGGAAAUGACUGCUAAGACCCA
This 324-nucleotide unclassified non-coding RNA is filed under the name Hevea brasiliensis (rubber tree). Lineage: Eukaryota; Viridiplantae; Streptophyta; Magnoliopsida; Malpighiales; Euphorbiaceae. The record is from RNAcentral.